Molecule: ribosomal RNA, 370 nt
Filed under: uncultured eukaryote
Lineage: Eukaryota
Description: partial 18S ribosomal RNA
Rfam family: Eukaryotic small subunit ribosomal RNA
Source: RNAcentral
CAAUAGCGUAUAUUAAAGUUGUUGCAGUUAAAAAGCUCGUAGUUGGAUUUCUGGUAGGAUGACUGUGCCCUCAGUAGAGUGUGCGCUGGCGUCUUGCCAUCCUUCUGUUAACCUUUGGGAGCUUCACCGCUCCCUUUGGGGCUCAGAUAUUUUACCUUGAGAAAAUUAGAGUGUUUCAGGCAGGCUAGCGCCGGAAUACAUUAGCAUGGAAUAAUGGAAUAGGACUUUUGCCUCUUCUGUUGGUCAUGGGGUUCGAGUAAUGAUUAAUAGGGAUAGUUGGGGGCAUUAGUACUUCACUGUCAGAGGUGAAAUUCUCGGAUUUGUGAAAGACUAACUUAUGCGAAAGCAUUUGCCAAGGAUGUUUNCAUUA